This 253-nucleotide ribosomal RNA is filed under the name uncultured bacterium. RNAcentral's name for it is "partial 16S ribosomal RNA". It matches the Rfam family "Bacterial small subunit ribosomal RNA", at positions 524 to 776 of the family's 1533-position model. The record is from RNAcentral.
GACGUAGGGGGCCAGCGUUGUUCGGAAUUACUGGGUGUAAAGGGUUCGUAGGCGGUGUGGCAAGUCGGGAGUGAAAUCUCUGGGCUCAACUCAGAGACUGCUUCCGAAACUGCUGUGCUGGAGUGUGGGAGAGGCGCGUGGAAUUGCAGGUGUAGCGGUGAAAUGCGUAGAUAUCUGCAGGAACACCCGUGGCGAAAGCGGCGCGCUGGACCACUACUGACGCUGAGGAACGAAAGCGUGGGGAGCGAACAGG